AGAAUCAUAGGACAAUUGAUAUGAACUCCAGUAAUAUCUUAAUCAUCAUCCUGACAGACAAAUACAUCAAACAAGACCUCUCCAAUACUUACUUUUACUGUAAUACAGGUUCUUGUAACCACUGAAAUAUGCAUAAUAUGUUGAUGUAUAUAAUGUCAAAAUCUUUUCCCAUCUCAUCCUUUUCUCCCUCGGUUUGGUUUUCCUAACCAAACUUGAAUCCAAAGACCUUUCAUACUUAAUCUAAUAAUACUUGGUGUGUUUCUUUAGACCUUCACAACAUCCUCAUGUUGACAAAGCAUUACAGUCUUGUUGAAUUCUUAGCUCCAUGCUCCUCUUUUUCCUAUCCCUUCGAGGGUGGGGCAAGCAUCAUCUUUAUGCUGAUGUGCAUGUCCUGAUUCUUCUUUAUCUUUGGCUGCCUUUCUUGCUCUUAAACAUGUGAGUGCCAUCCCCUCCUUUAACCUGCACGAGAUGCAAAAGGUUGGAUGAAUGAAAGGCAAAAUCUAUUUACAUCAUCAAAAUAUAUGAGUUAACAUAAGUAGAAAAAGCAUAUUUUUCGAUCAAUAUACAACUAAAUAUACUUAUCAAUGCUCAUAGUAGGAGAGCCAAGAACUAAUUCUAU
RNAcentral lists this long non-coding RNA (619 nucleotides) under Musa acuminata (dwarf banana). Its description in RNAcentral is "long non-coding RNA (MACU_LNC005047)". Lineage: Eukaryota; Viridiplantae; Streptophyta; Magnoliopsida; Zingiberales; Musaceae. The record is from RNAcentral.